AUGGUUUAUCAGAGUGCAUUCGCA
RNAcentral lists this non-coding RNA (24 nucleotides) under Arabidopsis thaliana (thale cress). The record is from RNAcentral. Lineage: Eukaryota; Viridiplantae; Streptophyta; Magnoliopsida; Brassicales; Brassicaceae.